This 858-nucleotide ribosomal RNA is filed under the name uncultured Acidobacteriota bacterium. RNAcentral describes it as "bacterial SSU rRNA". It matches the Rfam family "Bacterial small subunit ribosomal RNA", at positions 56 to 896 of the family's 1533-position model. The record is from RNAcentral. Lineage: Bacteria; Pseudomonadati; Acidobacteriota.
UGCAAGUCGAACGCGGUUUCCUCGCAAGGGGAAACUGAGUGGCGAACGGGUGAGUAACACGUGGGUGACCUACCUUCGAGUGGGGGAUAACGUCCCGAAAGGGACGCUAAUACCGCAUGACAUCCUGCCUUUGAAAAGGUGGAGAUCAAAGCCGGGGAUCGCAAGACCCGGCGCUUGAUGAGGGGCCCGCGUCCGAUUAGCUAGUUGGUGAGGUAAUGGCCCACCAAGGCAACGAUCGGUAUCCGGCCUGAGAGGGCGGACGGACACACUGGGACUGAGACACGGCCCAGACUCCUACGGGAGGCAGCAGUGGGGAAUUGUUCGCAAUGGGCGCAAGCCUGACGACGCAAUGCCGCGUGGAGGAUGAAGGUCUUCGGAUUGUAAACUCCUGUUGCCAGGGGCGAAUGGCUUCGACCUAAUACGUCGAAGUAUGACGGUACCUGGUGAGGAAGCCCCGGCUAACUCUGUGCCAGCAGCCGCGGUAAUACAGAGGGGGCGAGCGUUGUUCGGAAUUACUGGGCGUAAAGGGCGCGUAGGCGGCCCGCUAAGUCGAACGUGAAAUCCCCAGGCUCAACCUGGGAACUGCGUCCGAUACUGGCAGGCUUGAAUCCGGGAGAGGGAUGUGGAAUUCCAGGCGUAGCGGUGAAAUGCGUAGAUAUCUGGAGGAACACCGGUGGCGAAGGCGGCAUCCUGGACCGGUAUUGACGCUGAGGCGCGAAAGCUAGGGGAGCAAACGGGAUUAGAUACCCCGGUAGUCCUAGCCCUAAACGAUGAAUGCUUGGUGUGGCGGGUAUCGAUCCCUGCCGUGCCGAAGCUAACGCAUUAAGCAUUCGCCUGGGGAGUACGGUCGCAAGGCUG